CCCAAUCUUUUAACACAAGGUCUUGGUCUUAAACCUAUUAUUAUCUAAACUCUAUACUUAUACAUGCAAGCCUCAACACAACAGUGAAAAAGCCCACCACCAACCUCACAAGGAGCCGAUAUCAGGUCAAUCACCCAUGACAUCAAGCAACUAAGCCACACCCCCACGGGUCCACAGCAGUAGUUAAUAUUGGGCAAUAAGCGCAAGCUUGACCCAGCAAUAGAGUCACAGGGCCGGUUAAUCUCGUGCCAGCGACCGCGGUUACACGACAGACCCAAGACAAUACCACCGGCGUAAAGCACGACUAAAAUCCAGUUUACCCCAUUAGAGGUGAAGAAAGACUUGGCCGUAAAAAGCCAUAAGUUGCACUAACCACAAACCCUAAUAUUAAACAACUUCAACUCGUGAAAGUCAGGGGACAAACUAAGAUUAGAUACCUUACUAUGCCUAACCAUAACAAAACAAUCAAACUACCAAUUGUUCGCCAAAUAACUACGAGUAAAAACUUAAAAUUUAAAAGACUUGACGGUACUUCACACCAACCUAGAGGAGCCUGUCUAUUAACCGAUAACCCACGAUUAACCCAACCCGCUCUAGCCUAACAGUCUAUAUACCGCCGUCGCCAGCUUACCUUGUGAAAGAACCAAAGCAAGCCCAAUAACCCCCAUUAACACGACAGGUCGAGGUGUAACUAAUGAGCCGGACCAAGAUGGGCUACAUUUUCUAACUCAGAAAAAACGAAUAGACUAUGAAACUAGAAACUGAAGGCGGAUUUAGCAGUAAGUUGGGAAUAAACACACCCAGCCGAAGUCAACGCAAUGAAGUGCGCACACACCGCCCGUCAUCCCUGUAAAAUUCCUCACUCACUUCAUAAAAACCAUAUCCCAUCAAAGCAGGGCAAGUCGUAACAUGGUAAGCGUACUGAAAG
RNAcentral lists this non-coding RNA (928 nucleotides) under Brachyurophis semifasciatus. Lineage: Eukaryota; Metazoa; Chordata; Lepidosauria; Squamata; Elapidae. The record is from RNAcentral.